Molecule: ribosomal RNA, 498 nt
Filed under: Triticum aestivum (bread wheat)
Lineage: Eukaryota; Viridiplantae; Streptophyta; Magnoliopsida; Poales; Poaceae
Description: partial small subunit ribosomal RNA
Source: RNAcentral
AUGGCAUCGUCUUCGUCAUCAUCAGUAGCGCGCUCGUCCUCCAAUGCUGGAGAUCCUGGCUACUAUCCAAAGCAAUCUCCGAUUCCUUACCGUGAGCACAGGCUAGCAUAUGAGCCAGCUUCAAAUUACUGGUGCAAAGAGAAAGGGGCGAGAUGGAUCUCCUGGACCAACGCUAACCCUGGACGUAGGUUUCUGAACUGCCAAAAAACUUGGGCAAGCAUUCGUUUUAAUCUAUCUUCUUCUUGGUUCUUGCUGGAUCUAUCUCUCCCUCAUAUAGCUGGCAAACUUUCUUGCCAACUUUUGGUCGAUCUGCGCGACACGGUGCACAACCUGCAGAGGGAGAACGCUCGGCUCAAUGGCGUCAACGCACACCUUGAAAUGGGGAUUGAGGAACGAAGCUCCAUUAAUAUUUCUUUGAGGGAUGCAUUGUGCAAGACGAAGGAACGAAAUAAGGCUCUGGAAGAAAAGCUAUGUCAGACUGAAGCCCGUCUCAAGUAA